UACGAAGGGUGCAAACGUUGCUCGGAAUCAUUGGGCGUAAAGCGCACGUAGGCGGCUUGCCAAGUCGGACGUGAAAUCCCUCAGCUCAGCUUAGGACGUGCAUCCGAAACUGGCGAGCUUGAGUACUGAAGAGGAUCGCGGAAUUCCCGGUGUAGAGGUGAAAUUCGUAGAUAUCGGGAGGAACACCAGUGGCGAAGGCGGCGAUCUGGGCAGAUACUGACGCUGAGGUGCGAAAGCGUGGGGAGCAAACAGG
RNAcentral lists this ribosomal RNA (253 nucleotides) under uncultured bacterium. RNAcentral describes it as "partial 16S ribosomal RNA". It matches the Rfam family "Bacterial small subunit ribosomal RNA", at positions 524 to 776 of the family's 1533-position model. The record is from RNAcentral.